CCUACGGGCUGCAGCAGUGGGGAAUAUUGCACAAUGGGCGCAAGCCUGAUGCAGCCAUGCCGCGUGUAUGAAGAAGGCCUUCGGGUUGUAAAGUACUUUCAGCGGGGAGGAAGGCGAUAAGGUUAAUAACCUUGUCGAUUGACGUUACCCGCAGAAGAAGCACCGGCUAACUCCGUGCCAGCAGCCGCGGUAAUACGGAGGGUGCAAGCGUUAAUCGGAAUUACUGGGCGUAAAGCGCACGCAGGCGGUCUGUCAAGUCGGAUGUGAAAUCCCCGGGCUCAACCUGGGAACUGCAUUCGAAACUGGCAGGCUAGAGUCUUGUAGAGGGGGGUAGAAUUCCACGUGUAGCGGUGAAAUGCGUAGAGAUGUGGAGGAACACCAGUGGCGAAGGCGGCUUCCUGGCCUGUAACUGACGCUGAGGCGCGAAAGCGUGGGGAGCAAACAGGAUUAGAUACCCCGGUAGUC
This 465-nucleotide ribosomal RNA is filed under the name uncultured bacterium. RNAcentral describes it as "bacterial SSU rRNA". It matches the Rfam family "Bacterial small subunit ribosomal RNA", at positions 338 to 795 of the family's 1533-position model. The record is from RNAcentral.